This 332-nucleotide ribosomal RNA is filed under the name uncultured bacterium. RNAcentral describes it as "bacterial SSU rRNA". It matches the Rfam family "Bacterial small subunit ribosomal RNA", at positions 568 to 898 of the family's 1533-position model. The record is from RNAcentral.
CGCGUAGGUGGUUCGAUGAGUCGGAGGUGAAAUCCCUCGGCUCAACCGAGGACCCGCGUCCGAUACUGUCGAACUUGAGUGCAGGAGAGGAGAGCGGAAUUCCCAGUGUAGCGGUGAAAUGCGUAGAUAUUGGGAGGAACACCGGUGGCGAAGGCGGCUCUCUGGACUGUUACUGACACUGAGGCGCGAAAGCUAGGGGAGCAAACGGGAUUAGAUACCCCGGUAGUCCUAGCCGUAAACGAUGGGCACUAGGUGUGGGAGGUAUCGACCCCUUCCGUGCCGCAGUUAACGCAUUAAGUGCCCCGCCUGGGGAGUACGGCCGCAAGGUUGAA